This 31-nucleotide small RNA is filed under the name Bombyx mori (domestic silkworm). Its description in RNAcentral is "ovarian small RNA-28033". The record is from RNAcentral. Lineage: Eukaryota; Metazoa; Arthropoda; Insecta; Lepidoptera; Bombycidae.
UCCUUCGGGCCUCAUCCUCGUCCGUCUCGUC